Molecule: ribosomal RNA, 520 nt
Filed under: Sungouiella pseudointermedia
Lineage: Eukaryota; Fungi; Ascomycota; Pichiomycetes; Serinales; Metschnikowiaceae
Description: eukaryotic LSU rRNA
Rfam family: Eukaryotic large subunit ribosomal RNA
Source: RNAcentral
AUACAGGUCAUGCCUCAGUACGGCGAGUGAGCGGCAAAAGCUCAAAUUUGAAAUCCUUCGGGAGUUGUAAUUUGUAGGUUGGGAGACCCCGCGGCUAGUGGCACCAAGUCCCUUGGAACAGGGCGCCUUAGAGGGUGAGAGCCCCGUAGGUACCACAAUACCGUCUUGUGUCUCCUCUCCAAAGAGUCGAGUUGUUUGGGAAUGCAGCUCAAAGUGGGUGGUAAAUUCCAUCUAAAGCUAAAUACCGGCGAGAGACCGAUAGCGAACAAGUACAGUGAUGGAAAGAUGAAAAGCACUUUGAAAAGAGAGUGAAACAGUACGUGAAAUUGUUGAAAGGGAAGGGCUUGCAAGCAGACACGGCCUUCGUGCCGGGCCAGCAUCGGUUGCUAGGGGUGGAUAAGGAACAAGGAAUGUAGCUCCUCGGAGUAUUAUAGCCUUGCGCGAUACACCCACUGGCGACCGAGGCCUGCGGUAUUCCUACCUAGGAUGCUGGCGUAAUGGUUGCAAGCCGCCCGUCUUG